AAUAUCGGUGCCAGCCGCCGCGGUAAUACCGAAGCCCCAAGUGGUCGUCGUUAUUAUUGGGCCUAAAACGUCCGUAGCCGGUUUGGUACAUUCGUGGGUAAAUCAGACAGCUUAACUGUUUGAAUUCUGCGAGGACGGCCAAACUUGAGACCGGGAGAGGUGUAGGGUACCUGCGGGGUAGGGGUAAAAUCCUGUCAUCCCGUAGGGACCACCUGUUGCGAAGGCGCUACACUAGAACGGAUCUGACGGUCAGGGACGAAGCCUAGGGGCACGAACCGGAUUAGAUACCCGGGUAGUCCUAGGUGUAAACGCUGUGGACUUGGUGUCGGGAAUCUCUAGAGGAUUCUCGGUGCCGUAGUGAAGAUGUUUAGUCCACUGCCUGGGGAGUACGGUCGCAAGGCUGAAACUUAAAGGAAUUGGCGGGGGAGCACUGCAAC
This 437-nucleotide ribosomal RNA is filed under the name uncultured crenarchaeote. Its description in RNAcentral is "bacterial SSU rRNA". It matches the Rfam family "Archaeal small subunit ribosomal RNA", at positions 448 to 885 of the family's 1478-position model. The record is from RNAcentral. Lineage: Archaea; Thermoproteati; Thermoproteota.